UUGAGGUAUUUAAAAAAAACGUUUAAGUAUUUAAUCAUGUUUUUUUUUACGUAUGUAAGAGGACGCUGGACGCCGAAGAGUACGCUGUAGCACCGUCAUCGUCCCCAUGGAUGUUUCAGGUAUAUGUUUUACACGUUUAUUUGCCUAACCAUGUUUUUCUUACGUAUUUAGGAGGGUUUUAUCAUAGCAGAAGAGGACCAGUGGACAAUGAGGUUCGUCGUCGGAGGCACCAUAAUUGUUGCCAAAAAUAAUCAAGAGGGCUCCGCCACCAUUGAAAAGGAUGUUGGACGUCGUUGGAGGUACUAUGAUCGCCGUCCAAAAUUGGGAAGUAUUUUUUUGUUAAUUUUUAAGUCUUACACUAUGAUUUUAUUGUGAUUUUAUGUAUUUAGGAGGGCCCUACCACCAUCGAAGAAGAUGUUGGGUAUUCAGGACCGCCGCUGGAGCAACGAAAUCGUCACCAUGGAUGUUGCAGGUAUAUGUUAACACGUGUAAGUGUCUAAUCAUGUUUUUUUUUUAUGUAUUUAGGACGGUCCACAUUACCACGUAGAGGAUCAUAGGACAACGAGUGUCGCUGCCGGAGCUACCGUAAUUGUUGCCCAAAUUUGUCAAGAGGGUCCCAACACCGUCGAAGAGCACGCUGGAGGAAGGAGGUUCGCCGCCCAGCCCCGAGAUUUAUACCCAUUAAGAAGACGGAAAUAAAGAUGAAUCUUGAGGACGUGUAGCGAGCGCAAAGAUAUGGAAGAAUCAAGCACCACUCUCAAGCGUCGCAUCGUUAAAAUUAAAGGGGAUUAUAGUUCAUCAUGGCGACGAUAUUACACUAACUGAAAGCCUUGACCACAGAAGAGAAUUUAAAUGAAGUUAUAGAAAUUCUCCUGGAUUUUGAAAAACAGAC
This is a long non-coding RNA of Daphnia carinata, 892 nucleotides long. RefSeq lists it as uncharacterized. Lineage: Eukaryota; Metazoa; Arthropoda; Branchiopoda; Diplostraca; Daphniidae. The record is from RefSeq and is a predicted model, not a curated record. The transcript is spliced from 4 exons.